UACGAGGGGGGCGAGCGUUGUUCGGAAUUAUUGGGCGUUAAAGGGGUGCGAUAGGCGGUUCGGGUAAGUUUCGUGUGAAAUCGUUCGGGCUCAAACUCGAAGCCUGCACGAGAUACUGCCGGGCUUGAGUGUGGGAGAGGUGAGUGGAAUUUCCGGUGUAGCGGUGAAAUGCGUAGAUAUCGGAAGGAACACCUGUGGCGAAAGCGGAGC
This 210-nucleotide ribosomal RNA is filed under the name uncultured bacterium. RNAcentral's name for it is "partial 16S ribosomal RNA". It matches the Rfam family "Bacterial small subunit ribosomal RNA", at positions 524 to 727 of the family's 1533-position model. The record is from RNAcentral.